CUUUUGAGCCCCUUCCCUCACCGUGAAAAUGUUGAAAUUUUGAAAUUGCCCACUAGGAAAGGCACAGAGAUUGUGGCAAUGUACAUAAGGCAUCCUAUGGCCACCUCUACUCUUCUUUACUCUCAUGGGAACGCUGCCGAUCUGGGGCAGAUGUAUGANUUUCAUCGAAUUGAGCAUCCACCUGAGGGUUAAUCUCAUGGGGUAUGACUAUUCCGGUUAUGGACAAUCAUCUGGAAAGCCAAGUGAACAGAAUACAUAUGCAGAUAUUGAAGCUGCAUACAAGAGCCUAGAAGAAAAUUAUGGAACCAAGCAAGAAGACAUUAUCCUUUAUGG
This 333-nucleotide unclassified non-coding RNA is filed under the name Hevea brasiliensis (rubber tree). Lineage: Eukaryota; Viridiplantae; Streptophyta; Magnoliopsida; Malpighiales; Euphorbiaceae. The record is from RNAcentral.